UCUGAAUGAAAAAACUAACAAAGCAUUGACUAAGUGUAACUAAUAAAAGUCUCUGUCAUGGUCUUCACCCUCAGGUUCAAAGUGACGCUGGAACACUGGAACCAGGAAGAUCAUUAACUCUACCCUUCACAGUGUCGACCAGCGGAUCUGGAGGAGUUUUUAAUAUCAGAGUCAGUAAUGACCGAAGUUUCCUAAUGGCUGAUUUUCCAUCAACCCUGACUCUGGAGACUGGGGGCAGUGUGAAUGAUACAGUAACUCUGACUGCACCUGGAAACACCCCCUCAGGAACUGACGUCACGCUGACUAUCGAAGCUGAAGCACCACGAGCAACAGAUUUCAACUACGCAGUGCUGAGGAUUUCUGUAGUCACUCCGGUAACAGACAUUACUCCUCCAGUGUGUGAGAUAGUUAGCGUUAAUGCUAACUGCUCAGGGAACUGCAGCCUCUUGUGGUGGGAUCUCUCCGCUAACAUCACUGACAGAAACGGUUCAGGUAUUCAGCGUCUGGCAGUGCGCCAAGGCCUCGCCACCCUCAACACCAGCACUGUUCUGGACGGAGGCGUGAACGUCACGCUGGCGUUCCUUCGAGCUUCCUGCUGUUUCCCUCAGGCGGAGCUGGUGGUGGUGGAUUCAGAGGGGAAUGUCGGCUCCUGCAGCAGAUCAGUGACCUCUACAGUUUCACCGAGCACCAGCAGUCCUACAGUCCCAACCAGUGCUAACAGAGCAGAGCGUCCUCUGGGGGUGCCAGGCUUCUUUUGGGUCACUGCAGGAAUCAUCCUGCUGUUCCAGUUCACCUAAAUCCUGAACUCCACCGGGAAUAUUUAAGCUCUACCACCAGCAUGUUUAAGCUUAUGUAAUGUUAAUAAUGCAGCAAUCAUGCUUUAAUACAGAGUAAUGGGGUCAUGAAUAUAUUAAAAUGCACAUUAACCCUCGUGUUAUGUUAUGUACAUUUUUUCCAGGAACAGCAACGGUGCUUCCGGGUCAAUUUGACUCAAAUGUGCAUGUUUAAUUACCAUAAGAUGUGUAGCGUGCUUUAUUUACUCUAACUUUUAUUAGUUUAUUUAAUUAUUUUAAACGCUGCCACCACAUUUGGAAAGCCAGGAAGUUUAUACAACUACCAUAGAUGGCUAAAAAGACUUAUCAGAGCUAGGAAUCUAAUCUGUCACACACACAAUUCAUUAUAUGCAAAAUACACUCUACACAUCACUUAAAAACCACUGCAAAAUGACCCCCACUCAAGAUCAAAUGCCCUCUUAUACAGCACUACAAUCGUGUUAGAUAGAGCACACCAUUUAGCAUAUAAAAUAUUUCACACAAAUAUAUUCCUAGCUCUAUUAUAGCCAUCUUAUAUAGUACUUUAGAGAUUAAUAACUCAUCCUAUAUACAGGGUUCGUACAGUCAUGAAAAACCUGAAAAAGUCAUGGAAUUUGAAAAUAGCAAUUUCCAGGCCUGGAUAAGUUAUGGAAAAAUAAAAAUACCCAGAAAGUUUUGGAAAAGUCUCGG
Molecule: long non-coding RNA, 1502 nt
Filed under: Astyanax mexicanus (Mexican tetra)
Lineage: Eukaryota; Metazoa; Chordata; Actinopteri; Characiformes; Acestrorhamphidae
Description: lncRNA (ENSAMXG00005006868.1)
Source: RNAcentral